This 253-nucleotide ribosomal RNA is filed under the name uncultured bacterium. Its description in RNAcentral is "partial 16S ribosomal RNA". It matches the Rfam family "Bacterial small subunit ribosomal RNA", at positions 524 to 776 of the family's 1533-position model. The record is from RNAcentral.
UACAGAGGGGGCAAGCGUUGUUCGGAAUUACUGGGCGUAAAGGGCGCGUAGGCGGCCGCCUAAGUCAGACGUGAAAUCCCUCGGCUCAACCGGGGAACUGCGUCUGAUACUGGGUGGCUUGAAUCCGGGAGAGGGAUGCGGAAUUCCAGGUGUAGCGGUGAAAUGCGUAGAUAUCAGGAAGAACACCAAUGGCGAAAGCAGCUUUCUGGGACGGUACUGACGCUGAGACGCGAAAGCGUGGGGAGCGAACAGG